GAAUAUUGGACAAUGGGGGCAACCCUGAUCCAGCCAUGCCGCGUGUGUGAAGAAGGCCUUCGGGUUGUAAAGCACUUUAAGUGGGGAGAAAGGCUCGAUGGCUAAUAUCCAGGGGGAUUGAUGCUACCCACAGAAGAAGCACCGGCUAACACCGUGCCAGAAGCCGCGGUAAUACGGAGGGUGCGAGCGUUAAUCGGAAUUACUGGGCGUAAAGCGCGCGUAGGCGGCUGGCUAAGUCGGGUGUGAAAGCCCCGGGCUCAACCUGGGAACUGCACUCGAUACUGGCCGGCUAGAGUAUGGGAGAGGGAGGUAGAAUUCCACGUGUAGCGGUGAAGUGCGUAGAUAUGUGGAGGAAUACCGGUGGCGAAGGCGGCCUCCUGGCUUAAUACUGACGCUGAGGUGCGAAAGCGUGGGGAGCAAACAGG
RNAcentral lists this ribosomal RNA (425 nucleotides) under uncultured bacterium. Its description in RNAcentral is "bacterial SSU rRNA". It matches the Rfam family "Bacterial small subunit ribosomal RNA", at positions 359 to 776 of the family's 1533-position model. The record is from RNAcentral.